Molecule: long non-coding RNA, 1545 nt
Filed under: Homo sapiens (human)
Lineage: Eukaryota; Metazoa; Chordata; Mammalia; Primates; Hominidae
Description: HSALNT0363673
Source: RNAcentral
UAUGUAUUGAGUGUUUAUGUAAUCGGAACUCUUCUGGGGUUACAAUUUAACUUACUUUCUCACCUCCGAAUGGUUAUCACCUCAACGAGGACUAAAUCCAAUGAUUUUUUUUUAUCUUGCCAAAAUUCCUAUCUAAGGGGUCUGGGGAGUCAUGCCCUACAAAUCAUAAAUUCUCAUCAGAUGGGUUUUAUUUAACCCUAUAUAUCAUGACUUACUUUCCAACCUGACUCUGGCAUAACAUGACGAGACAAGGAAGAAAAGCAAAAUAUUUUAAUAUUUUUACCUCAAAACAUGUUUCUUUGCCAUAUCUUGAAAUGGCCCUGCUACUGUCCUUUGUGGGGGAAAAUUUUCAUCUGUAAAGAAUCUCUAUUAACAUAGCUGGAUCUUUUUCUACCAGGCCCUUCCAAUCAUAAAGAGAUUAACUAAGUGUAGCACCUUUUAUAGAUCUGAAUAGGAAACACUUGUCAUCUGUUGUUUCUAAGGGCAGCCACUAUAAGACUUCAAAAGAACCUUGGUCUCCACAGUCUUUUAUCUUAACAUUUCUUUUCUAUCAACCCCAGGUCUUUAGACAAACUCAACCAAUUGUCAACCAUAAAAUGUUUAAAUUUACGUAUAGCCUGAAAGCCCUGCCACCCCACUUUGAAUUGUCCCACCUUCCUGGACCAAACCAAUGAUUUUUUUUUUUUUUUUUAGAUGGAGUCUCCCUCUGCCGCCCGUGCUGGAGUGCAGUGGUGUGAUCUCGGCUCGCUGCAACCUCCGCCUCCUGGGUUGAAGCAAUUCUCCUACCUCAGCCUCCUGAGUAGCUAGGAUUACAGUGUAGUCUCUGGAGAAAGAAUGCCUGAGCUUUACCAGCACCACCCAGGAAGCCCAUAAGAAUAUUCCCAUCUAUAUGGAUUCAACUGGAACCACUGUGGAGAGAUGGUACCUGCCUGCAAACGGCACUUUAUCCAGGACACCUGCCUUUACGAGUGACCCCCCAACUUGGGGCCCUGGAUCCAGCAGGUGGAUCAGAGCUGGCGCAAAGAGUGGGUGCUGAAUGUGCCCCUGUGCAAAGAGGACUGUGAGCAAUGGUGGGAAGAUUGUCGCACCUCCUACACCUGCAAGAGCAAUGGGCACAAGGGCUGGAACUGGACCUCAGGGUCUAACAAGUGCCAGGUGGCAGCUGCCUGACUACCUUUCCAUCUCUACUUUCUCACACCCACUGCUCUGUGCAGUGAAAUCUGGACUCACUCCUACAGGGUCAGCAACUACAACCGAGGGAGCAGCCGCUGCAUCCAGAUGUGGUUCGACCUGGCCCAGGGCAACCCCAAUGAGGAGGUGGCAAGGUUCUAUGCUGCAGCUCUGAGUGGGGCUGGGCCCUGGGCAGCCUGGCCUCUCCUGCUCAACCUGGCCCUAAUGCUGCUGUGGCUGCUCAGCUGACCUCCUUUUACCUUCUGAUACUUGGACAUCCCUGCCCUGUUUAGCCCCACAGCUCCCAACUAUUUGGUUCCUCUUCUAUGGUCUUGUCUCUGACAGCCACUUUGAAUAAACCAGACACCACACAUG